RNAcentral lists this long non-coding RNA (1479 nucleotides) under Anas platyrhynchos platyrhynchos (common mallard). Its description in RNAcentral is "lncRNA (ENSAPLG00000026191.1)". The record is from RNAcentral. Lineage: Eukaryota; Metazoa; Chordata; Aves; Anseriformes; Anatidae.
AUGUUCGUCACGGUGAGAUACGGAGGUACGCGGGGAGAGCACUGGCUUCAAGCCAACUGCCAGGAGCUGGUGAACCUGCAGAGCCGCGUGCUGGCCCUCACCGCCCACCUGAGGAGGAAGUGUCAGUGCAGGACAGGAGAGUGCAUCGACCUCGUGGAUGAAGCAGGAACCCUGAUGAACCUGAGCAAAGUGGAGAAUCCUGCAGCUGAGUAUGCCAGUAAAUACCUACGGGAAAGGCAGCGCUACAUCCUCGUCAGGGUCAUCAGUAAGUUCCUCAGCAAGGCCACACAGCUCAUCCUCCAGGCCAGGACGGGUCUGCUGCAGGGGUGGGCAGCACUGGAGGAACUGCCCCGCACACCAGUGGCACCUUGUCACAGCCUACAAACAAGGCUGUGCCUUUGGACAGGGUCUGCCCAGCAGUUGUCUGGACACCACACAGUAGCUGUCAGAAAGAAAAGCCAGCUCACAAAAACACUAGAGCUGUAUCCUGAGACUGAGGUAGCAGCUCUGGGGGAGGAGCUUCUCACAACAGAGCCACCUGCCCCAAUUCCAAGUUUUGAUCCCAAUUUUCAGCCAAGACAGGGACUGACCCACUUUUCCCAUUCUGCUGCUAGGAGAACAAAGCACUGAAGCUACCUGCUAUGAAUCCUUACUGGAGAACCUGGGGAAACACCACCCUGACCUCGCAGGUAAGAGUCAGGCACCCAAGGUGUCUCCAGAGCAGCUGAGAGUGCAGGCCUGACUCCCCCUGAACACCAUCCAGGGGACAGAGCUCCUCCACAUCACCAUGCCCCCUCAGAGCACAGCUUUGGGGCUGGUACUGCUGUGGCAGCAUUAUUGUCACCUGUGGGUAUCCCCAGGUGAAGUCAGGGACAAGCAGCAGGCAGAGCUGCUCUGCAGAGCCCCUCCUGGCUGUCACAACAGCAGCACCACUGCCUGCCCUCCCCACACCAACCUGUACAGGGCACAGCCCCACAGCUGGGAGGCGCGCAGGGCAAGGAGUCAGCUCCUGGGGACAGGCAGGGAGGGACAACACGAGCUGGGGGGACUCAGAGGCCCACCUCCCAGCUCAGCAUCUCCUCACUUAACACACCAGUGGGCAGCUGACACAGCAGGAAAGCACCCAGCUCUUGGGGUUUGCUCCACAGAUCGGCUGCAGAAGCUCUCGGCAAACACCCCGAUGAGAGAGCAGUGGAGGAAAGGCUCCUUGCAGAGGAGGGCUCAGCCCAAGAAGAGCUCAGAGCCGAAGAGCACCCCCAGAUGAGGAAAGGGCCUGAUGGGAACAAGCACAAGUGCAGUGACCACCGCCAGGACUCACCAUGGUGCUGCCCAAGCCCCCAGCCCCACCAGGACCCCCACUCUCCUCAGAUGUUCUGCAACUAAAGCUGCACUGGCAGCAGACAGCACCCUGGCCAGGCACAAGCAGCUGCCUCCUGCUUCAAGGUGUCAUUCACAUUCCCACACCACCACCUGCACUGA